RNAcentral lists this unclassified non-coding RNA (417 nucleotides) under Hevea brasiliensis (rubber tree). Lineage: Eukaryota; Viridiplantae; Streptophyta; Magnoliopsida; Malpighiales; Euphorbiaceae. The record is from RNAcentral.
UAUAGGUACAAGAGGAAAACUUGUUAUACCUUUUUUACACUUAAAUAAUAUCUAUCUACAUUGCAGAGUUUUCUGCAUUUUAAGGCAUACAAUGAGUAUAUUCAACAGCUGGAAUCUAUUCAAUUCGAAAUACUUCAAUUUUCAUCAUUAGCAGGUCCUUUCAUUUCCUUGGAAGUGUUCUCUGAUCUUUCCAAACUUAUCAGGGGUGUAGGAUUCUCACACUGAGUGAACAUUUUCUUGAUGACUUCUUCUUUCUCAUCAAUGAAGUCGAAAAAGUGAAAAAUGACUUGAGAGCAGNAGAAGUUAAGGAUGGAGAAGCCAGUUGCAUUUGCCUACGUUUAUAGCGCACAAAUUGGCGGACCACUCUUAGUAAAAAUGCUAGAAGGGCUACAGCAAUGAAGACACCACACAGAAGAU